UAUCUUCUUGUCUUUAUCUUCUUGUCUCUUUGCACCUGUUGAUCAUUCUAGUUGGACCUCUGGAAUUAUAUUAUCUUCGCCAUUACAUUUUGAACAUUUAUGAUCUGGGUACUUAUGUCCUAUUAACUUGCAGUACCUAGUUAAUAACUCUGCUGAAAUAAAUCAUGUCUUUAGUGCUCGUGUUGUAGGUCAUUCUUCUGGUCUAAGUAAUGAUAAAAUCCAUCUCUGGACUUCAUC
Molecule: long non-coding RNA, 237 nt
Filed under: Solanum tuberosum (potato)
Lineage: Eukaryota; Viridiplantae; Streptophyta; Magnoliopsida; Solanales; Solanaceae
Description: long non-coding RNA (STUB_LNC009976)
Source: RNAcentral